UACAGAUUUACAAUUAAUAAAUUCCCCAAGUAUUUAUUCCCACUAGACUUCAAUAACUUGGAGGGAGAGAGGAAAAUAACUAACUUGACCAAAUACAUACAUUGUCACUUCUCGUGACCAAAUAAGAAACUUUACGGUGUUGGAGAGAUGACUCGCUCAACACAUUACCGCAGAGGAUGACCUUUUGCGGUGUCCUAAAACAUACCCUUUUGACUUUUCACUCCUUCUUCUUAAUUAUUACUGUUGCUGGAAUUUCCUCUCCAACACGGCAGCAGCUUGAUCGUCGUAGUUCCUCCCUCGACGAACUCCAGCGACGAACUGACUGAUUUUUCUUCGAGCUCGCAGUUUUAUGCUACGAGCCAAGAGCAUUCUCAUGGCAACUCACAUUACCCCGAAAACAACUUUUUCCAUAAAUAAAAUAAUAAUAAUACUCUCUCCUCACACAAUGAUUACAAAGACUGCAAUCGACCGGACCCAGGAACUGAUCAUUCAGACGAAGUCAACUGUUCAUCCUCGUAUAUGGACAAAACCCAAGUAUUCUACGUGGAUAAGUAUUUAUAUAAGUUCGCUGCGAAAUUUCCACCGAUAAAUACGAAUAUUCCGUUAUUAAUUCGAAAUUUAUUUUACCAAAUACAACGAUAUAAUAUGUAUAAAUUAGGCAACAUACGCUAAUAUUCUCACAAAUUGAUUUAUGUAUGUACUGUGGAUUGUGUAAAUUUCAGCGCAUUUGUGCACGCUCAGACUACUUUCGAUGUCACAAAGGGAAUAACUGCAUCCCAAUAUCGUACUUGUGUAACGACUUGAUAGAUUGUAUUGAUGGGUCAGACGAAAUUCCGACAGAUUGUGGAAAAGCUAAAGGAUGCAAACCAGGCUCGUUUCAAUGUGCUUCGUUCGAGUGUAUACACCUGUCCAAGAAGUGUGACGGUUACAUCGACUGCUUGGACGGUUACUCAGACGAGGCGUGCAUAGAUCCUCAAAAAUGUCGUGCGAAGAGUGGAAAAUUUCUGUGUGGGUUAAAUGAAAUGUGCCUCGAAGCUGACAAAGUAUGUGAUGGAAUACCCCACUGCAGAGACGGCUCGGACGAGUUCGAUGGAUGUGGACUUGUCUGUAACAACUCGACUUGUACUAAUGGUUGUGUUCCCGAUCCGGCGAAAAACUUCAGCGAAACAUGUUAUUGUUUCGAUGGAUAUGAAAUCAGCUCAUCGGGCAAAUGCAUGGAUAAAGAUGAAUGCAAAGUGUUUGGAAGCUGUUCGCAAAUUUGUAAAAAUAAGAGAGGCAGCUUUGAGUGCUCCUGUCUGGACGGAUUUCACCUUGGCGUAGACAAUUCGUCCUGUGAUGUUACAGGUGUGUUAUAAUCUUAUUCGACUGGAAUUUCAUAAUAAGGACCAAUACCGCCUAAUAUGGACCUAAAAAAUAUUAUUGAUAUUUGUUUUACUCCUAUUUUUUUACCAUACGAUCCUCGACGUCAUCCCUCUCAUUACUAAUAGCAUUGCAGUGGUGACGUCGAGGGUCGUAUGGUAAAUAAACCGUUAAACGCAUGUAACGAAGGGGUGAAACCGAGAACUUUAUAACAUUUGUGAGGUGACAUAUGUAUCAAAUUUAACAUUUGGUGUCAGUUAACAGUUAACAAACAGUCAUUUAACAAUUUCAUGUUCUUUGAGGUAAAAAUGAAGGUCACCCUUGAAUUCGGGGUUAAAUUUCAAUUAAAAUUGACAUGUAUCAUAUAUAACGUUUAGUGAUCUUUCAGUGACCUCUAAGUGAUCUUUCGUGACCUUUGAGGUCAAAACGGAGGUCAUCAUUGAAUUCGCGGUUAAAUUUCAUGUCAAAUUGACAUAUGUAUGCAAUUUGACCCCUAUAUCCAACGUAUCCGAACUGAUCAGAGAGAUGGUGGAAGUUUGUAAUUAUUCUGCUGCCAAGGAGGCAAGCGAAAACAUUUAUGACAUGUUGGAUAAGAUGAGCAGAAACAAGUCACUCUGUGCGAUCGAGGCCCUGACCUUCCUUUGGGUUUAUGUCGGAGUGUUUGAGAAGAGAUGGAUUGAAACGGGCGAAAUUCGAAGUGCUAGCCGUAAAGAGGACGCACUCGCCGGUAGACUUUUUCAAGCAGCAGUGCAACAAGAGAAGGACAAGAAUAUGGAGCACGUUGCUAAUCUUUGGAAUGCGAUGUGGUACUUGCACAAACCCAAACCAAAGGAGGUGUACUUUUCAAUUACGGAUGCCAUUUUACGUGAAGCAUAUCCCAACGUGGACUUGACCUUGCACUAUUCAAGGGUCAGUUACGAGCCAGAUAAAUUCUUCGAGGUGAUGUCCAUGGGUAGAUUCAGAGGAUACGUCUCAGCGUGAGCUGGGAAGAGAAGACAACCGAGCUAAAAUUGUUCGUAUAGUAAAACACGCAUCCAUUACAUAAAUUUACAACUUCUUUAGAAAUUUCCAAUAUGUCGUAAUUCCUCUAAUUUUACAUGCACCUCAAAACGACAUGACUUGUUUUUAUCAAAUUUUGGACUUGAGUUAUUAUUUUACAUUUUUUAUUCAACACAUGACAUUUAUUGACCACUUUGAUUUUAGCAUCAACGUAUGUACAUGAAUUAUUUAAUAUGCGUUGCGUACAUACACAUUGAUACUUACGAUUUAUGUACUUGCAAAUUUUGGUCUAGUGUGACUUGUUCA
Folsomia candida is the source of this 2664-nucleotide long non-coding RNA. RefSeq lists it as uncharacterized. The transcript has 5 exons. The record is from RefSeq and is a predicted model, not a curated record. Lineage: Eukaryota; Metazoa; Arthropoda; Collembola; Entomobryomorpha; Isotomidae.